Molecule: RNA transcript, 5313 nt
Organism: Megalops cyprinoides (Indo-Pacific tarpon)
Lineage: Eukaryota; Metazoa; Chordata; Actinopteri; Elopiformes; Megalopidae
Gene name: non-muscle caldesmon-like
Exons: 18
Source: RefSeq, a predicted model, not a curated record
UUGGCAGCUUGCUCGAAUUUUCAAAGCUUUUUAGGCCUUGGUAUUUUUAUUUAUUUAUUCCCUGCAAACUGAAGAACGGCUUCUUGACCUGGCCGGUAUAACUGUAGGCACUUUGAUGCAUUCUUUAGGUCAAACCACAGAGCAGCUAUAGGCUGGAAAUUAGAAUAGCGUACAAUGCAUGUAAACAUAAGGAGAUGUGACUCAAUGAUGUUUUCAAUGGGAGGGGCUAGGACUCGCCUGCAGUUUUAUUGAAUCAGUCUCCUGCGUCUGACUGCGCUCCUCUUCGCUCUCUCUGCGCCUGUUUCCAAACCCGUCCAAGCACAAAUUUGUUCCACGGCGAUCCAGGAAUCACCCCGCAGUCCCACACACAGAGGCUGAGCAGCGGCCGUCUCACCUGGCAGACCCACCCACUCUCUGAGACUCCUCCAGCGUGAUCGUGACAGCCAUCCUCCAGGACCCAGCAUGGACGAGGACUUCGAGCGUCGCAGGGAGCUGCGGAGGCAGAAGCGUGAGGAGAUGCGCCUCGAGGCGGAGAGGCUGAGCUAUCGGAAUAUCGAAGACGACGAGGAAGAGGCCGCUCGAGAACGCCGCCGCAGGGCCCGUCAGGAGCGACUGCGCAACAAGGACAGCGAGGAGCCGGUCGCCGCGGUGAUGGACAGCACGGAGCUCAACAGCAACAGCAUGGCAGAGGCGGAAAGGACCGGAAGCUCUGUGAGCUCGGGAGCAGCCAGCGAGGAGGACCAGGCCCUGCAGGAGCGGCUGGCCAAGCGGGAGGAGCGCAGGCAGAGGAGGCUGCAGGAGGCGAUGGCCAGGCAGAAGGAGCUGGAUCCCACCGCCACUGACGGCACAGAGAGCAACCAGGAGGAGAGGCACCGCGACGCUGAGGAGGAACAGGAGCCCAACGACAAGGCCCCCGAAAACAACGCCUGGCAGGAGAAAGAGGAGGAGAUGAAGGAGGCGAGUGAGGAGGAUCAGAGGGAGGAGGAGGAGGCAGAGCCAGAGGAGCCGGAAGAGGAAGUGGAGGAAGAGAUACAGGAGGAGGUGGAGAAGCCCAGAAGAUCCUACCUGAGAGAGGAGGAAGUGGUGGAGGAGGAGACGAGACAGUCAUUUAAGAAAGAAGAGGAAGUUGCUGAGGAAAAGCCAUGGAGAUCAUUCAAGAGGGAAGAGGUGACCAAGGAUGAGGAAGUCACUCCACAACCAAAACAGCACAAUGGAGCUUUCCAUGACAACACCACUGCCAAACACAAGAAGCCAGAGAGGACCUCAAGCCGUGGGAACCUGCGUUCGCCAGAGGCAGAGGACUCAGAAGAUGCCGCCCGACUGGAGGCGGAGCGCAAGCUGGAGGAGCUGAAGCGUCGCCGUGAUGAUGCGGAGAGUGAGGAGUUUGAGAGGAUGAGGCAGAAGCAGCAGGAGGCGGAGGCGGAGCUGGAGGAGCUGAAGAGGAGGAGAGAGGAGAGGAGGAAGGUGCUAGAGGAGGAGGAGAGGCAGAGGAAGCAGGAGAUGGAGGAGAAAAAGGCCAGAGAGGAGGAGGAGAAGAGGAAGAUGAAGGAGGAGAUCGAGAGGAGACGGGCGGAGGCAGCCGAGAGGAGGCAUAAAGUGGAGGAAUCCGCUGACGGGGAGGACAAGAAGCUCUUCAAAUGUGUCAGCCCGAGGGGAUCCUCCCUGAAGAUUGGGGAGAGGGCAGAAUUUUUGAACAAGUCAGCCCAAAAAAGCACUGUGAAGACGUCACACAUACCCGUUGUCUCCAAGAUCGACAACAGGCUGGAGCAGUACACCACAGCACUUCAGUCCAACAGGGAGGCCAAGUCCCCGCGCUCCGCAGCUGUGGACCUGCCCACGGUGACCGACGGCAUCCGCAACAUCAAGAGCAUGUGGGAGAAAGGGAACGUGUUCGGCUCCACCGGCAGCGCGGCCAGCAUCAACAAGGAAGCAGCUGCCAUUAAGGUGGGCGUGGCCGGCCGCAUCAACGACUGGCUCAACAAAACCCCGGACAGCGGCAAACCGACGGGAGGGAGACCUGUUGACCUGAAGCCCGGUGAUGUCACCAACAAACGCAGCCUAUGGGAAAACAAGAGCUCCUCCCCUGCCAAGCCCUCUCUCAGUUAGCUGACUUCACCUUUAAAUCUGGAUGAGCAAAAGAGAUUACGGUUGGUGCGAAGAGUAAAGCAGUCAACAAUGCAGGAAUGGGGCACUAACCGUGCGAAGAAGCUGAGAAGGCCAGAACCAACAAAAUGCAUGAGUCCUUUUUCCUAUGUAUAUUUCCAAGACCAAAUAGGAGGGGUGAGAGGGAGUGGUUGCGUAUUUGUAAUUCCAGGGGGGUGGCUUACAAAAGGAAACAAGAUGUAUAUUAGCACUGUAUUUAAAACCCACAGUCUUAUAGGGCCAUGUUUAAAGUAUAUACUGGCUUUGCACAAGACCUUAUACCUUCCUUAGAAAAACUAUGCUGUGAAGUGUGAACCUUUAAAAUGACUAUAUAUUUUUACUGGUUUUAUAUGAAACUGCAGAAUCAAAUGAAAGGAAAUGUAUCUCACCCUUCUGGUGCAGACUUUAUUUCUUUUAAAUUAAUUAUUCUAUUCUGAAUCUGUACCCUAAAAGAAAGUGUCACAGGGCACUACAUAUAUUCCAUGUUUUACCAUGUUUAAACCAUGAUUUUGUCUUUUAAAGACCAUGUUGUCUUGAGUAUCGAUCUCAGUUCUAGUGUUAGUCAAGCAGUGCUUUAGAUUGUAAUUUCAUUUAGGUCAGUUAACAGUGAACUGAUAUUAGUAAUUUUCUAAAAGGGUCAGCACAGAGAUAUGAAUUCAUUGCUUCAAAGUGUUUUGCUUCAUGGUGCUUUUGGUGGUUAAAUGGGCCAAACUUAUAUGUUAGUACCUAUAUUUAUUAUUGAAAUUUUCCAAUAUAUCUCACAAGUUUUUAUUUGAUAUCUGUGCACAUAUUUUGUAUUCAGAGUAACUACAAGCCAGUAAUAGCAUUUAUGGAAAAGUACAAAGGUUACAAAGGUCAUUAAAGUACAGUUUUUUGUAUGACAUUUUAAUUAUGUGGAUGGUAGAUAUUUUCCUGAUGUUUUCUCCCUCAGCUGGAUAUGGAGUGAUUUACCUCUCCAUACUUGAUUUUUUUUUCGAAUGGUAUUUCUUGACAGUCCCCAGUUUGAGUGACACAAGCUGCAGUCAACUCCCAAUCAUCCAGGCUAAUAGAGGGGAGCUCUGGAAUGGAUAAGUAAAAACAUGUCCAGCCUGCAAACUGUCAUUUUAAGUAUUUGCCUUUUAUAUUGAAUAACAUUAAAUAGACUGCUAGUUGGGGAACUAGCUAACAAUCCAUUUGAAUACUGUACACAAAUCUCAAUUUGAAAGAAUAAUACCACAUAACUAACAGCAUCUAACUAAUGUUGCCAUGUAUCAUAACUUGCUUACAGGUUGCUAGCUAGCUAGAUUUGAUGAAUAUUUGUGAAACAAUCAGCUGUGUAAUGUGGCUGUAUUUUAUCUUACCGUUUUAUUGGUUGCAUAAUUUGCUGUCUUCCUCUGUGAAGCCGUAUCUGUUUGAAUACCUACAGAGUGUUAGACUUGCCCCUACACCUAGCAUGAACAAGUGGAGAAGGCAAAAAAAACAAAAAAAACUUAACAAAAACCGUAAACAUCUUCAACCAAAGGCACUGAUGAUCCAAAAACAAGAUAAUCAGGAGCUGACUGUAAUUCCAUUUCAAAAGAAGCUCAACACUUUACUCUUUACUAUGCAGAUUGAAGGCCUAAACAUGCAGCUGUUUCACCUGCCGAUAAACAUUCCAUGGUGUGGGCCUCACCUCUCUUUAUAUACAAAAAUGUUUGACGACGCUUAGUGACAGCAAAGGCUGAUAUUAUAGACGUGAGCAGAAAUCUCCAGUAAUGUACUUCACUGAUGUGUUUCUGCAUUGCCUGAUGAACAUGCAUGGAAGCAAGCUGCAGAAUUUUUUUAAUUGCAUUGCAUUUCCUGGAAGAGUAGUGUGCAUCCAUCAAAAUGUACUCAUCAAAGUGGUGACUGUUCCACAUAUGAGCAAAAUGCUCAUGCAAGCCUUGAUAUCAGACUCAAACUGCACUUGCUGCAGAUCACACACUGCCUUGUGUAUUUCAAUAGCCACUGAGGAUCUGCAUAAAACGCAAACAGACUUAAAUGUGACAGCCCCAUGUUCACCACAAGAAUGUGUCUUUGAUAGUGUUACUGUGUGAAUGUGUUUCUGCAUGCAAUUUCUGGAAUGUUGUGCCAAGUUCUGCGCCAGUUCUCAAACUGAACCAAAGUUUUAUUUCUUUGAAACAAUUAGCCAUAAAAAGACUCUUGAGAGAAGUUGCUGUUAUCUCACUUUUGACUAUUUCUUACUGCCAUAUUGAGAUCCAAGACACUACAAAACUAGAAGUUUGUGACAGGAAAUAAGAUGUGGCUGAAAUGAUUUGUGUUGAAAACUGAAUAUACCUCUCAGAACAACAUCAUCGAUGUGAGAAGGGAAUAUGUAGAAUUGACAAUGACUCGAAAUCUGGUACGUUUAAAGGGGAAAAUAUCUACUUAAUUAUUAUUUUGAAAGUAAAUAAAGUUGUACAACCAGAAUUAAACUUUUAAAUAACUUAAUGUGUGGACUAGGGUCAGGUUUCAGGUCCAAAGUUCAUUUAAGAAGCCCAACAUGGUUUCUAGGCUUUGUCCACACUAAUGUAGUUAGAACAACAUCUGUGUAGUACCGUUCCUGAAUUGGAUGCAUUGUACAUUCAGUAGAUGGCACAUUAUACAGCCAGUCUGUGAAAUGUAUUCAGAUCCAGAUAAGAAACUACACACUGCUUUUAAUCCCUUGUUACUCUUAUAGUUCAAAGAACUAUAAGAGUAACAAAGAACUUCUGUUCUGAUGUCAGCUUCUUCAAUAAUUUUACAUUGAACAGACAAACAGUGUCUUGUUAUUUUAACAUUAACAUGCAUAUGUAGAGUACAGUGCUAAAUUUUCAAUAAAUACAUCUUAAAUACAUUUUAAGUUGGGUUCUGUCAAUUUGGGUUUUUUCAUAUAUGCAAUUGUGACCGUUCCAAGAUCUGCUCAGCACUGAGCACAGGAGCUUAAACAAUCCCAUCCAAAGACUUACUUCAGCUAUGCUAUGAAAACAUUUGAAAUUGUUCUGGUUUUUUUCUGUGUUCAUGUAUUGUGUAGGGAAAAAACUAUGCAAAGUGCAUCUUUACAUAAUCUGCAUCUUCUGUUAUGUUAUACACACUCUGGGUAUGUGUAUUGUAGUGGAUAGCUUCAUACAAGAUGAAUGUUUAAACAUUAUAUCAUUGACUCUGCAACAACAAUAAACCCAUAAAUGUCCAAAA